RNAcentral lists this long non-coding RNA (848 nucleotides) under Nicotiana benthamiana. RNAcentral describes it as "long non-coding RNA (NBEN_LNC020466)". The record is from RNAcentral. Lineage: Eukaryota; Viridiplantae; Streptophyta; Magnoliopsida; Solanales; Solanaceae.
GCAGCUUGCCAUGCUGGAACAGAUGCAGCCUGAGAGUAAUAUAGAGGCUCAGAUUCCAAAGAGGAGGAAGAUGAACCAGAGAAGGCAGGGAGUUGACAAACAUAAUCCUUAAGAUAUGAAGUAGGAUUAUGUUGUCUUUGAGACUUUCUGGGAGAAGGAAUAGAGGGAGAAGAAGCUAAAACAGGAGGUGAGCUGGUAGGAUUGAAAGGAGAAGGGAAGACUGAAGCACUUGGGACAGUAACAGGGACAGGAAAAGGCAUCUGAACAGAUGUGGGAGAAGAGGGAGGAGAGAUGGGAAUGGGAGAAUCAGAGGCAUCAUCAUGUUCUCCAGAUGGAACAAAGGGAAAAGGAGAAGCAGGAGGAUGAGCAGAAGGAGUCACAGAUUUAAAAGGAAAACAUGAUUCAUGAAAGAGAACAUCCCUGGAGACCAAAUACUUCUUUGAAGCAAGAUCAUAUAAUCUAUAACCCUUUUUGCGAUUUAAAAGGAAAACAUGAUUCAGGAAAGAGAACAUCCCUGGAGACCAAAUAAUUCUUUGAAGGAAGAUCAUAUAAUCUAUAACCCUUUUUGCCAAAAGGAUAUCCUAGGAUAACACAAGGAAUGGCUCUUGGCUUUAACUUGUCCCUUUGAGGGAUGGGAACAGUGGCAUAGGCAAGGCAACCAAAAGUCCUCAAGUGAGAAUAGGUUGGAAUUUUCCCAUACAAAAUUUCAUGAGGAGACUUAUUAUGAAGCAAUCUGGUGGGUAUUUGUUAAGUAGAUAGGUAGCAGUCAACAAACAAUCCCCCCGGAAAGAUACUGGCAAGCCAGAUUGAAAAAGCAAAGCCCUACAGGUUUCAAGGAGAGUUCUAUG